Molecule: unclassified non-coding RNA, 284 nt
Filed under: Minimedusa polyspora
Lineage: Eukaryota; Fungi; Basidiomycota; Agaricomycetes; Cantharellales; Hydnaceae
Description: partial internal transcribed spacer region
Rfam family: Eukaryotic small subunit ribosomal RNA (bases 1-46)
Source: RNAcentral
AAGUCGUAACAAGGUUUCCGUAGGUGAACCUGCGGAAGGAUCAUUAAUGAAUUUUGGAGUUCUACUGUGCCUGCCGUUCAUUCGGAUGUGUGCACGUAGUCUCUAUAAAUCCUUAUCAACACCUGUGCACCUUUAAAAAGGGGGGAGUCUGUUUAAGCAUUUUAUGAUGCUUAUGACGAAUAACCUCUUUUCUUAUACAAACUCUUUUAAUGUCUAUUAGAAUGUUCUCUGGCCGCAAGGCUAUAAAAUAUAAACAACUUUUAACAACGGAUCUCUUGGCUCUC